GACGAACGCUGGCGGCGUGCUUAACACAUGCAAGUCGAACGGAAAGGCCCUGCUAGCAGGGUGCUCGAGUGGCGAACGGGUGAGUAACACGUGGGUGAUCUGCCCCUUACUUUGGGAUAAGCCUGGGAAACUGGGUCUAAUACUGGAUAGGACCAUGCUGUAGGUGGUGUGGUGGAAAGAUUAGUUUCGGUAAGGGAUGAGCUCGCGGCCUAUCAGCUUGUUGGUGGGGUAAUGGCCUACCAAGGCGUCGACGGGUAGCCGGCCUGAGAGGGUGGACGGCCACAUUGGGACUGAGAUACGGCCCAGACUCCUACGGGAGGCAGCAGUGGGGAAUAUUGCACAAUGGGCGCAAGCCUGAUGCAGCGACGCCGCGUGGGGGAUGACGGCCUUCGGGUUGUAAACUCCUUUCAGCCAUGACGAAGCCCUUGUGGUGACGGUAGUGGUAGAAGAAGCACCGGCUAACUACGUG
RNAcentral lists this ribosomal RNA (469 nucleotides) under uncultured bacterium. RNAcentral describes it as "partial 16S ribosomal RNA". It matches the Rfam family "Bacterial small subunit ribosomal RNA", at positions 28 to 507 of the family's 1533-position model. The record is from RNAcentral.